UGAUACUUAAAAGCGAUUCACGAAAUAGCCUUUUUCCCUGACUGUUUUCACCUUUUUCAACAGAAUGAGCUUCAAAGAGGGAUAGCAGUGAUUUAAAGUAGCAGAGUCUUAAUUAAAAGAAGAUAUGUUACAGUUAUCACCGAGUUCUACCACAACUUUAUCUAUUGCAAUCUUUGGGGAUAGCAAAAAAUCAAAAGCGCUGUGCCUACAUCUUCGACACCUUUUUAGAAUGGUUGAAAAAAUUGACGGAAUAUCUUUCAAGUGCAUCGAAAAUUUACCGAAUUCUUAUACUGAAUUUUUUUAUGACUACU
This is a long non-coding RNA of Zophobas morio, 311 nucleotides long. RefSeq lists it as uncharacterized. The record is from RefSeq and is a predicted model, not a curated record. The transcript has 4 exons. NCBI's taxonomy places the organism in Eukaryota, Metazoa, Arthropoda, Insecta, Coleoptera, Tenebrionidae.